UGCUGUUUCGCUGACGAGUGGCGGACGGGUGAGUAAUGUCUGGGAAACUGCCUGAUGGAGGGGGAUAACUACUGGAAACGGUAGCUAAUACCGCAUAAUGUCGCAAGACCAAAGAGGGGGACCUUCGGGCCUCUUGCCAUCGGAUGUGCCCAGAUGGGAUUAGCUAGUAGGUGGGGUAACGGCUCACCUAGGCGACGAUCCCUAGCUGGUCUGAGAGGAUGACCAGCCACACUGGAACUGAGACACGGUCCAGACUCCUACGGGAGGCAGCAGUGGGGAAUAUUGCACAAUGGGCGCAAGCCUGAUGCAGCCAUGCCGCGUGUAUGAAGAAGGCCUUCGGGUUGUAAAGUACUUUCAGCGGGGAGGAAGGGAGUAAAGUUAAUACCUUUGCUCAUUGACGUUACCCGCAGAAGAAGCACCGGCUAACUCCGUGCCAGCAGCCGCGGUAAUACGGAGGGUGCAAGCGUUAAUCGGAAUUACUGGGCGUAAAGCGCACGCAGGCGGUUUGUUAAGUCAGAUGUGAAAUCCCCGGGCUCAACCUGGGAACUGCAUCUGAUACUGGCAAGCUUGAGUCUCGUAGAGGGGGGUAGAAUUCCAGGUGUAGCGGUGAAAUGCGUAGAGAUCUGGAGGAAUACCGGUGGCGAAGGCGGCCCCCUGGACGAAGACUGACGCUCAGGUGCGAAAGC
RNAcentral lists this ribosomal RNA (686 nucleotides) under uncultured bacterium. RNAcentral's name for it is "bacterial SSU rRNA". It matches the Rfam family "Bacterial small subunit ribosomal RNA", at positions 78 to 760 of the family's 1533-position model. The record is from RNAcentral.